UACAGAGGGGGCAAGCGUUGUUCGGAAUUACUGGGCGUAAAGGGCGCGUAGGCGGCCUGUUAAGUCGAACGUGAAAUCCCCGGGCUCAACCCGGGAACUGCGUCCGAUACUGGCAGGCUUGAAUCCGGGAGAGGGAUGUGGAAUUCCAGGUGUAGCGGUGAAAUGCGCAGAUAUCAGGAAGAACACCCGUGGCGAAGGCGGCUCUCUGGGACGGUACUGACGCUGAGACGCGAAAGCGUGGGGAGCGAACAGG
This 253-nucleotide ribosomal RNA is filed under the name uncultured bacterium. RNAcentral's name for it is "partial 16S ribosomal RNA". It matches the Rfam family "Bacterial small subunit ribosomal RNA", at positions 524 to 776 of the family's 1533-position model. The record is from RNAcentral.